Molecule: long non-coding RNA, 2544 nt
Organism: Brassica napus (rape)
Lineage: Eukaryota; Viridiplantae; Streptophyta; Magnoliopsida; Brassicales; Brassicaceae
Exons: 10
Source: RefSeq, a predicted model, not a curated record
AUCACCACACUCUUCAUCUUCCUCACUCCAUUCAUCAUAACCUCACCCGUUAAAAGACUCCUCCCUGGCUACAGCGUCGUAUGUUUAAGCAUCAUAAAGACCAAUUAUUCAGAGAAGCAAAUUAUGGCUAUGAAACUUUUUGGAUUUCCACAUCAUUUCAUCUUAUAUAAAACUUCGUUUACAUUCCGCUUAUACACAUAAUUCACCAUUUUUAACAAAAAAAAAAAGCUUAGAUACCGUGAAAUCUUCUGGCAAAGCUCCACCAGUCAGUUCUCCAGUGACCUCACUCCGGGAUGAAGAGAUCGCGGACGGCGACGGCGAGGAUAUUGGAGCAAGAGACGGUGUUGGGACAGGCGAGCUCGAGAGCGGUUUUGGGCGGAUCACAACGUCGAAUCUGUCUCUGGGAAGGAGAGGUUGAUGGGGUCAUCGCGUUCGGCGGCGUUGAAAGCAGUGGAGGAGACGAGGACGGAGGCGUCGCAGCCGUUGGGGAGUUUCGUUUCUUCCUCUCCUGCAAUCUCAAUUCUUCCGUACCGAGAAGCUCGAUGGAAUCCUCCCUGUCGAUAAAUCUACUGAGUCGGAGGACAAAAGACCAGAGCUUUACGUUGAGUGUGCAUUGUAUAUAGAUGGAGUUCCUUUUGGUCUUCCCAUGAGAACAAGAUUGAACACUACAGGGCCACCAUACUGCUGGAACAAACUCAUCACUGUCUGGGAUACAGAACUUGGAAAGUUUAAUCCUUCAGAGCACAAACAACUAAAGCUUGCAAAGAGCUUGGAUCGUGGCAUUAUUGACAGGGAUCUCAAACCGAGUAAUAACGAGCGGAAAUCAAUACAAAGAGUUCUAAAAUAUCCGCCAACGAGGACUUUGAGUGGAGAUGAAAGACAAAGUUUCUUCGCUGUGUGGAGUGGAGUGAUGUUCAGGAAGCAAAGCAUCACAUCCCUUCAGCGCAUUGUAAGUUUUUCUGUAGAAUGUAUAUGCCAAAUUUGUGGAUGAAAGGUAUGUGUAGCUUCGUUUACUCUUGAACGUCUUCUUCUUGGUUUACUCUUAUAGGAUGUUUCAAACAAUGUUGGCUUACUUUCUGAUGAUGGCAAGAGAUUUUACAAACCAAAGUGUUUCUUAAUUUUUUUUGAUUUUUUUAAUAUGUUUUAUAUAAUAAAUAAAUUUUAUCUUAAAUAAAACAAUGUUUAAUUUUUUUUAAGAACUCCUAAAUAAGAUACUUGCAUUGGAGGACAAAAUUUAGAGGUUGCUUAAAAAAGUGCUUAACACCCAUUUAUUACUAAAAAAAUGAUUAAGAGCUCCAUUAGGGAUGCUAGGGUUAAUGGUGCUCUUAGAGCGUGUGACUAAAAAUCUUUCUAUAAGGCAAGAAGAGCAAGCAAAAAAAAUUGGCGCAAAAUCAAGGUACACAAACAAAACACCUGAAUAUCCUUUAAAAUGAUCUUCCAAGUAAUUUUUUAACUCAAGAUUGUUUGGUUUGGUGCUUCACUCGAAAGCCAUUUCUUGGUCUCCUUAUGUUAACGAUCUUGCUUCUGGUGAUUGGACUCCUGAUUGAUGCAUACAGUUUUUCGAAUAGGAAGACAACUUACGUAGAUACUCAUCACGUACGAUGCUCCCACAACCAAAUCAUAUACUGUAAAUACUUCACCAUCUCCAAAAUUGCAACUCUAACAUGUCACACAUACAGAGUUAUGUACGUUGCGGUCUCACCUGACGGACAAACGAUUGUAACCGGAGCAGGAGAUGAAACCGUAAGGUUCUGGAAUGUCUUCCCAUCCAUGAAAACUCAGUUACUAUACGCAGAACGAGGCAUUGCGGUCGGGUGAGAAUAGCAUGCCUCACUGAUUGUGAGAUAUAUAUCGGUCUGAUUAAUGUGAUUUAAAACAACACGAGGUAGAUCAGCGCAGCGGAUUCGGCAGGACAGCAUCAGCGUUCUCAUCGGCCCCACUAGACGCUCCCACUGCCGAUCACCAGGUUCGCCUCUAUUCCUUAAAAAUAACUCGAAUAAGCAGUCAAUUGAAACUCCUUCAGAAGCUUUUGUGUCUCCCUCUCUAUAUGAACUUGAAGAGGAGAGAGCUAGUGUAGCUGUUACGAGUCGUCUUUUUGAGGCCAUGCACACAUGUAAAUGUUAAGAUGGUUAACCUUUAGAGUCCUUAAUCCAAUCUAUGUUUCUGACAUGUUGAACUUGGUGAGGAGGCAUUGUUUCCCCGUGUACUGGAAUGGAGAUAAUUGGUGUGUGUCUAGAGGCCAGAAACAUUAAACAGUUGGAGAUUGCAUAUCGUAACAAGGUCUGGUGCAGAAGGAGGUUUUAACCCUCUAGGCUUUUUGCAGGUUCCAGGAUUUGAUGUGGAUCUCUCUUAGAUUGGCUUAAUGUGGAUCUCUCUUAGCUCCCACUUCUACGACUUUUUAAUUUUUGAUUAUUUACAUACGCAAAAAAUUUAGUCGUACACAUAUAUUGUUAAUCCUUAUGUUAAAAUAAUAAAAUCAACAUUUAUAUGAUUAUUGAACGCAAGCUAACAGUUCUUUUUGUCAAAAGAAUAAUAGUUCUUCUU